GACGAACGCUGGCGGCGUGCUUAACACAUGCAAGUCGAACGGUGAAGCGCCUUCCUUUUAGGUGGGUGUGGAUGAGUGGCGAACGGGUGAGUAACACGUGAGUAACCUGCCCCCUUCUUCUGGAUAACCGCAUGAAAGUGUGGCUAAUACGGGAUAUUCUGGGUCUGUCGCAUGAUGGGUCUGGGAAAGAUAUUGUUUCGGUGGGGGAUGGGCUCGCGGCCUAUCAGCUUGUUGGUGGGGUGAUGGCCUACCAAGGCGGUGACGGGUAGCCGGCCUGAGAGGGUGGACGGUCACACUGGGACUGAGACACGGCCCAGACUCCUACGGGAGGCAGCAGUGGGGAAUAUUGCACAAUGGGCGCAAGCCUGAUGCAGCGACGCCGCGUGAGGGAUGGAGGCCUUCGGGUUGUGAACCUCUUUCGCCAGUGAAGCAGGCCUGCCUCGUUUGUGGGUGGGUUGACGGUAGCUGGAUAAGAAGCGCCGGCUAACUACGUG
This 494-nucleotide ribosomal RNA is filed under the name uncultured bacterium. Its description in RNAcentral is "partial 16S ribosomal RNA". It matches the Rfam family "Bacterial small subunit ribosomal RNA", at positions 28 to 507 of the family's 1533-position model. The record is from RNAcentral.